This 484-nucleotide ribosomal RNA is filed under the name uncultured bacterium. RNAcentral's name for it is "partial 16S ribosomal RNA". It matches the Rfam family "Bacterial small subunit ribosomal RNA", at positions 28 to 507 of the family's 1533-position model. The record is from RNAcentral.
AUUGAACGCUGGCGGCAUGCUUUACACAUGCAAGUCGAACGGCAGCGCGGGCUUCGGCCUGGCGGCGAGUGGCGAACGGGUGAGUAAUGCAUCGGAACGUGCCCAGUAGUGGGGGAUAGCCCGGCGAAAGCCGGAUUAAUACCGCAUACGACCUGAGGGUGAAAGCGGGGGACCGAAAGGCCUCGCGCGAUGGGAGCGGCCGAUGUCGGAUUAGCUAGUUGGUGGGGUAAAGGCUUACCAAGGCGACGAUCCGUAGCUGGUCUGAGAGGACGACCAGCCACACUGGGACUGAGACACGGCCCAGACUCCUACGGGAGGCAGCAGUGGGGAAUUUUGGACAAUGGGGGCGACCCUGAUCCAGCCAUGCCGAGUGUGGGAAGAAGGCCUUCGGGUUGUAAAGCGCUUUUGUUCGGGAAGAACCCCUCUGGGCUAAUACCCCGGGGGGAUGACGGUACCGGAAGAAUAAGCACCGGCUAACUACGUG